Molecule: ribosomal RNA, 779 nt
Filed under: uncultured bacterium
Lineage: Bacteria
Description: bacterial SSU rRNA
Rfam family: Bacterial small subunit ribosomal RNA
Source: RNAcentral
UAGGUGGUUUGUCGCGUUGUUCGUGAAAUCUCACGGCUUAACUGUGAGCGUGCGGGCGAUACGGGCAGACUUGAGUACUGCAGGGGAGACUGGAAUUCCUGGUGUAGCGGUGGAAUGCGCAGAUAUCAGGAGGAACACCGGUGGCGAAGGCGGGUCUCUGGGCAGUAACUGACGCUGAGGAGCGAAAGCGUGGGGAGCGAACAGGAUUAGAUACCCUGGUAGUCCACGCCGUAAACGGUGGGUACUAGGUGUGGGUUUCCUUCCUUGGGAUCCGUGCCGUAGCUAACGCAUUAAGUACCCCGCCUGGGGAGUACGGCCGCAAGGCUAAAACUCAAAGAAAUUGACGGGGGCCCGCACAAGCGGCGGAGCAUGUGGAUUAAUUCGAUGCAACGCGAAGAACCUUACCUGGGUUUGACAUGCACAGGACGCCGGCAGAGAUGUCGGUUCCCUUGUGGCCUGUGUGCAGGUGGUGCAUGGCUGUCGUCAGCUCGUGUCGUGAGAUGUUGGGUUAAGUCCCGCAACGAGCGCAACCCUUGUCUCAUGUUGCCAGCGGGUAAUGCCGGGGACUCGUGAGAGACUGCCGGGGUCAACUCGGAGGAAGGUGGGGAUGACGUCAAGUCAUCAUGCCCCUUAUGUCCAGGGCUUCACACAUGCUACAAUGGCCGGUACAAAGGGCUGCGAUGCCGCGAGGUUAAGCGAAUCCUUUUAAAGCCGGUCUCAGUUCGGAUCGGGGUCUGCAACUCGACCCCGUGAAGUCGGAGUCGCUAGUAAUCGCAGAU